Coffea arabica (coffee) is the source of this 4364-nucleotide RNA transcript. It is a transcript of the gene named putative disease resistance protein At4g10780, with no coding region annotated. NCBI's taxonomy places the organism in Eukaryota, Viridiplantae, Streptophyta, Magnoliopsida, Gentianales, Rubiaceae. The record is from RefSeq and is a predicted model, not a curated record.
UAAAUUUUUUUGGUUGUUUCUAAAAUCAUCAUGUUAUAUUUAGAUUUCCAAGGCCCAAAAAUCUUGAUCACUAUUUUUUCCCUUUUCUUUCAACACAUGAAGUGCUCUCUCCAAGCUCUUUACAUGAUUGACAUUUUUUUGGCAAGAAUUUCGGAUAUUAUUGUAGUUGCAAAAUUUUUGUUAUCAAUUCUUUAGAGAAGAUAAAUGUCUGGACUAGCUUGAUAAGUUCCAGAGCUUACCAUGAUGUUAUAUUUUAUUAUCAAUGAUCAAUGAAUUUAGAUCUUAACAUGUGGUAUAUUCUAAAUUCUAUGAGGUCUUUAAUUGGACUAUUUUGUUAGUUGGACUCUUGCUAUUUGUGGAAUGAGAUGUAAUGAGUGGUAAGUAAUUAAGAUGUCAUUUGCAUCAAAUAAGAGAGAAAAAUCGUGUUAGUGAGAAGAAACACUUGUACCCAAAAAAUACUACUUUAUACAGGAAUAUUUCUGCUUAACAACAUCAUGUACCCUUUAUGAACGUUUCAUUCAGCCCAGAAAGUUAUCAUAUAAUAGAAGCUGUAUUUGAUAAAUAGUUGGAUAUGAUAAAAAGUCUUUUUCAUCUUAAUAUUGAUGAUGAACAAAUUCAAAAAUAUAUGCAAAAAGAAAAUCAGAAGAAUACUAGUAUUAAUUCCUUUGCAUCAUUUAAACGUUGAUUAAAAGUUGAGGAUACCAUUAUGUAGAAUCCAACAUUAAACAGCUAAUUGUUUAGUGUACUAACCGGGUUCAGAUUUGUCAAACUAUUAAGUUUGGAAAUGCCCUGUUUCAAAAUUUUCCAAAGGAACAUCACGAUUCUUAUGCUGCCUUUAUUGAACAAUGUUGUUAUUGAUUGAUACCUAGACUUUUUAGAGAUUCUCUUGUCACUUGACAGGCAAGAGAGUUCACGAGAAACUAACAAUGGAGGCACUUGGGAAUUUGGCAUUGGACAGAGGAAGGAGGUAUGUCAAUUUGGAUGAUAAUCUCAGGUCGCUUGAAAGGAAGUUGCAAAGAUUAGGCGGCAGAAAAUCUGACAUCGAGUUGCAAGUGACAAAUGCAGAAAGAUCAGGUACUAAGAAAAGGAAAAGGGAGGUUGAGAUUUGGUUUGAGGAGGUAGCAACAGUAGAAAGUGAAUUCGGUGCUUUGAAAGAAAGCAUACAGGAGGGUGGAUUUCUAGAAAAUGCAAUUAGCAGUGGGGAUAGAGUGGCUAAAAUGGAUGCAAUUGUAGAGCAACUGAUGGAGCAAAGUAAUCAUUUUGAUGGGCUUUUGCUUGAGGCUUUUGAGAACAGAGGUGAGCCACGGGUGACAACAAAAUUAUUUGGAGAAAUGUUUGACAGAGGUUUGAAAGCAAUCUGGGCGUGGUUGGUCAUGGAUAGCAUCUCAAACAUUGGGAUUUACGGGAUGGGCGGUGUGGGUAAGACUACAUUGGCGAAACACACCCAUAAUCAUCUCCUUGAGAGAACUCAAUUCAAGGUUUAUUGGAUUACUGUCUCUCAAGAAUUCAGCAUCAAAAGGCUGCAAGAUGACAUUGCUAAACGCCUAAGGCUUGAUCUGUCAUACGAGGAUGAUGAGGAUAGCAGAGCAGCCAUUUUGUCCAGGGCAUUGGUGAAGCAUUCUGUCCUCAUACUCGAUGAUGUUUGGCAAGAAUUUUCUUUUGAAAAGAUUGGAAUUCCUCUCGGUGCAAACAAAUGCAGAGUGAUCUUGACUACUCGGUCUCUAGAAUUAUGCAGCAGGAUUAGCUGUCAAAGGGUAUUUGAAGCUAAAACUUUGGCUACAAAUGAAGCUUGGGAUUUGUUCAAACAUACACUCGACACUAAGACAGUGCCUGAUGGAGAUGUGGAAGGUGUUGCCAAGUCCGUUGCGAAAAGGUGUUCUGGUUUGCCUCUUGGUAUUAUCACAGUGGCUGGGAGCAUGAGAGGUGUGAGCGACAUCUGUGAGUGGAGAAAUGCAUUGGAACAAUUGAAAACAUGUUCGGUAGGGCAUGAUGAGAUGGAACGAGAUGUGUUUCCCAUUCUGGAAUGGAGCUUCAAUCGCCUGGAUAAAUAUGAAAGGAAUUGCUUCUUGUAUUGCUCUCUUUAUCCGGAAGAUUAUAAAAUAAAAAGAAAGGAACUAAUAGACCUGUUUAUUUGGGCAGCGCUGAUGUCAAAACGGGGCUCAAGGUCAAAAGCAUUUGAUCAAGGUCAAACGAUAUUAAACAAACUGAUGAGAGUUUGCUUGCUGGAAGAAACUAAAGAUUUCAAAGGGGGUGACUGUGUGAAGAUGCAUGAUUUGGUCAGAGAUAUGGCAUUAAGGAUCACGCAUGGAAACUCCAAACCAAAGAGGAGGAGAGAUGAUGUACCACGAUUCUUGGUGAAAAGCUUAGGACAGGAAGAUUCACAAGUAACACUGGAACAAGAACAGUGGACACAAGAUCUCCGUGCAGUUUCCUUCUAUUCACAAAAUUCCAAAGGAAUAGAAAUUCCACUAGCCUGGUCACCAAAUUGUCCUAAGCUCUCAACCUUGCAUCUUUCUUGGGUUUUCAUAAAGGAAAUCCCAGAUUCAUUCUUUCAGCACAUGUGUGGACUUAAAGUUUUAAAGGUAUUUGGGUGCCAAGGUAUAACAUUGUUGCCGAAUUCUGUUUCAAACUUGGUGAAUCUCACUGCUUUGAUUUUGGGGAGUUGUGGAGACCUCCGAUUUGUGCCACCACUGGGAAAGCUCAAGCAACUGAGGGAAUUGGAUCUAUCAUGGACUAAAGUUGAGGAUUUACCUCAAGGUUGGGAGUCACUGGUCAACCUCGAAAGGCUUAACUUGAACCAGUGUCAGACUUUUAGUCGAAAGAUAAUAAUACCAAAAGGGACAUUUUCCCAAUUUCACCGUCUUCAACGGUUACUAUUGCCACCCUAUGGUUGGGUACAAGUUAAUGAUCCAGAGGUGUUGAACCAAUUAGAAAGUUUUAUAGGAUGUUUGUCUUAUACGGACUUCUAUAAAAUUACUCGGUGGCCAAAAUACUAUAAUGUUUAUAUCAAUGACAUCUUAACUAAGAAUCAGCAUUAUGAGGACAAUGACUGUGGGUACCAAAAAAAACUGUAUUUCCAUCAGUGUAAGCUUGGUAGAGGAUCGAACGACCUACCAGAUGAUAUGAAGCGUCUGAUAAUCGAGGAUUGUGAGGGCACCGGCAUUAGGUGCUUGUCAGAUGUUUUUAAGAAUUUUAUAAACUUAAGCGACUUAGCUGAAUUGGAAAUUGUUGAUUCGGUUGGAAUAGAGUUCCUCUGGCAAUUGUCCUCUGCUUCUCCAUGUGAUCAGUUGGAAGUCUCGUCUUUUAAUCCACUUCGUGGUCUCGAAUGGCUACGCCUCCACAGGUUGCCAAAUCUGGUUGGUCUUUUUUACGGAGAAUCAGAACCAUGUGUGCUUCCGGCUGGCACCUUUUCUUCCCUUAAAAAAUUGUGGAUUUCUAAAUGUCACAACAUGAAGCAGCUAUUCACAGUGCAGUUGCUGCAGAACCUUCAAAAUGUUGAAGAAUUAGACGUUGACGAUUGUGAAGGACUAGAGGAGAUAGCAGCAGAUGGCAAUGGAAUAGGACAAGGAGAAGGAGAAGGCAUCCAAUUGACUUCAAGUGGAGCCACCACCACUGUCAUCAUCCUUCCAAAGUUAAGGAGGUUGCGUCUGAAUAGGCUGCCACAACUAAAAAACAUUUGCAAGGCAGCCAUGAUCUGCGACUCAAUUGAGAAGAUUAAAAUAUUUGAUUGUCCAAAGGCAAAGAGGCUGCCUUUGUUUUUUCCUACCAUCAACGGACUACCAUCUCUUCCCAGCACUCUUUGUAAAAUCAAGGGAAAUAAAGAAUGGUGGGAAUCGUUAGAGUGGGACUAUCCUAGUGCCAAAAAUGCCCUUGACCCAUAUUUUAACACAUGGCGGAGUUUAUUUGAUUAUUGAAGACCACUUGUUUGAUCAAAAUCCUGACUGGUUCUCAAUUCUCAUGUUAAGAAGAUAGCUAGGCAGCCACAGAAUUGCUGCUGCAAGAGAGGUGGAGUUGCAAAAAGAAGUAGUAUGUUUGAGGUGGCCCGUAAAGCAAGCGUCAACUUGCUAAUCCGCAGUCCUGCAAUGUAUGAAGAGGCAAAAUUCGAGGAAGAAGCAGAAACAAAAGGACCAGAAGGCCAAGGAGCUGCGAUGCUGUCAUUGAGAUUACAAAGGAAUCCAAAUCCUGAACUUUCAUUAAAUGUUACAUCCGAUGGCAAGCUAGGCAAGAGGCAAGCAGAUUCUGGAGAACGAGUGGUAAACUAAUCAAAGGGAAGACUAAGUUGACAUUCAUAGUUAAAUUAAUUUUUUGUCCAGAAAAUGUUUAUUAUGUUACAAGGAAAUAGUUCAUUUUGGAGACCCAUCAAG